This 65-nucleotide transfer RNA is filed under the name Cyclina sinensis. Its description in RNAcentral is "tRNA-Asn". It matches the Rfam family "tRNA". Rfam says of the family: Transfer RNA (tRNA) molecules are approximately 80 nucleotides in length. Their secondary structure includes four short double-helical elements and three loops (D, anti-codon, and T loops). Lineage: Eukaryota; Metazoa; Mollusca; Bivalvia; Venerida; Veneridae. The record is from RNAcentral.
UAGAUUUUAGUUUAUUGUAAAAUGUUUGACUGUUAAUCAAAAGAUGCUGUUUUUUGCAUGUCUAG